Molecule: non-coding RNA, 84 nt
Filed under: unclassified sequences
Description: c-di-GMP sequence
Rfam family: c-di-GMP-II-GAG riboswitch aptamer
Source: Rfam by way of RNAcentral
ACAAGAGCGGGAUGCCAAGACACGCGGUCCAUAGCCCCGGCCGCCGGGACCGCGCCGAGCCACUGGCGAGACCGACCCGCUAGG